Molecule: long non-coding RNA, 525 nt
Organism: Zophobas morio
Lineage: Eukaryota; Metazoa; Arthropoda; Insecta; Coleoptera; Tenebrionidae
Exons: 6
Source: RefSeq, a predicted model, not a curated record
AACAGGCUAAAAAAUAUGUGCUUCUACUGUUUUAAUGUACUUCAUUGUAAACUUAGAAAAAUUAACAGGCCACCAACUCCAGAUUUUCCGGACAAAAAAUUUCCUCUUUUUGUGACUUGGAAAAAAGAAAAGCGAGGUAGACUUGAAUUGAGAGGUUGCAUAGGAACUUUUUCGGCGAGAAGCCUGCAUACUGGCUUAAAAGAAUAUACAAUAAACAGCGCCUUCAAAGAUUCUCGUUUUGCGCCCAUUCAAUUACGUGAAUUUAAACGGCUUCACUGCACUGUUUCAAUACUUGUAGAUUUCGAAACCGCAAAACACCCGGAAGAUUGGAUCAUUGGCGUCCAUGGAGUUCAAAUUUCUUUUUCAGACGCUGGCGUUAAACGCACUGCAACGUACUUGCCAGAAGUUCCUAAGGAGCAAAGCUGGACUCACAAGGAAACGCUUCAGUCUCUAAUAAGGAAAUCCGGAUUCAAAGGUAGUCUCCGGGAGGACACGUGGAAGACCGUUAAAGUAACGAGAUACCGA